CCAUGCCGCGUGCAGGAAGACGGCCCUAUGGGUUGUAAACUGCUUUUAUACGGGAAGAAAAACAGCUACGUGUAGUUGACUGACGGUACCGUAAGAAUAAGGACCGGCUAACUCCGUGCCAGCAGCCGCGGUAAUACGGAGGGUCCGAGCGUUAUCCGGAAUUAUUGGGUUUAAAGGGUCCGUAGGCGGGCCAUUAAGUCAGGGGUGAAAGUCUGCGGCUCAACCGUAGAAUUGCCUUUGAUACUGGUGGUCUUGAGUUAUGGUGAAGUGGCUGGAAUAUGUAGUGUAGCGGUGAAAUGCAUAGAUAUUACAUAGAACACCGAUUGCGAAGGCAGGUCACUAACCAUAUACUGACGCUGAUGGACGAAAGCGUGGGGAGCGAACAGGAUUAGAUACCCUGGUAGUCCACGCCGUAAACGAUGGAUACUAGCUGUCCGGGUCCUUGAGACCUGGGCGGCCAAGCGAAAGUGAUAAGUAUCCCACCUGGGGAGUACGUUCGCAAGAAUGAAACUCAAAGGAAUUGACGGGGGCCCGCACAAGCGGUGGAGCAUGUGGUUUAAUUCGAUGAUACGCGAGGAACCUUACCAGGGCUUAAAUGCAUAUUGACAGGGGUAGAGAUACCUUUUCCUUCGGGCAAUUUGCAAGGUGCUGCAUGGUUGUCGUCAGCUCGUGCCGUGAGGUGUCAGGUUAAGUCCUAUAACGAGCGCAACCCCUACCGUUAGUUGCCAGCGAGUCAUGUCGGGGACUCUAACGGGACUGCCGGUGCAAACCGUGAGGAAGGUGGGGAUGACGUCAAAUCAUCACGGCCCUUACGUCCUGGGCCACACACGUGCUACAAUGGCCGGUACAGAGAGCAGCCAUCUGGCAACAGAGAGCGAAUCUACAAAACCGGUCACAGUUCGGAUCGGGGUCUGCAACUCGACCCCGUGAAGCUGGAAUCGCUAGUAAUCGGAUAUCAGCCAUGAUCCGGUGAAUACGUUCCC
RNAcentral lists this ribosomal RNA (983 nucleotides) under Maribacter polysiphoniae. RNAcentral describes it as "bacterial SSU rRNA". It matches the Rfam family "Bacterial small subunit ribosomal RNA", at positions 392 to 1375 of the family's 1533-position model. Lineage: Bacteria; Pseudomonadati; Bacteroidota; Flavobacteriia; Flavobacteriales; Flavobacteriaceae. The record is from RNAcentral.